RNAcentral lists this microRNA precursor (106 nucleotides) under Dichanthelium oligosanthes. Its description in RNAcentral is "mir-395 microRNA precursor family". It matches the Rfam family "mir-395 microRNA precursor family". From Rfam's summary of the family: mir-395 was identified in both Arabidopsis thaliana and Oryza sativa computationally and was later experimentally verified. mir-395 is thought to target mRNAs coding for ATP sulphurylases. The record is from Rfam by way of RNAcentral. Lineage: Eukaryota; Viridiplantae; Streptophyta; Magnoliopsida; Poales; Poaceae.
GUGUUGCCAAGAGUUUCCUUCAAGCACUUCACAUGGAGCAUUUUGUUUCCCAUGAGGGAAGUUCAUUGGGUCAAUGUGAAGUGUUUGGAGGAACUCCUGAUGCCAA